UCAAGACGUCUCCCCCCCGUGAAAAUGUGCUUGGUGGGCAUGCUAGAGACAUCUGAGUUCCCUUUGACUGUGGGGAAGCUGGGAGUCCCGGACGGCUGGAAGUAGACAGCUGCGAUCUUGUGACAUCACUUCCUGUACGGCGGAACUCUUACAGUGUCCCCAGCAAUGAGGAAUGAUGAUCUAGGUUCCGCCUGGCAGCAUCCACAGGGUGAGAGAUGCAGGAACACAUGGGGUGGAUACAUGAACACAGAAUUGAAGAUGUCCUUAUCUGGCUUCAAAAUCAUUUAAAAAAUAGAAACCGAACCAUCAGCAAGUGCUAAUUGGAAGUUGAAAAAUUUACUAAUUGCCUUCUUAAUUACAUUAUGAUGAAAAUGAUAUGGGAAUAUGAAAUCAUCAAAAGUGUUAAUUUGUUCUUGCACAAACUGCAGACUCCCUGGUCAGAAGGAUUUGGAUGAUAAUCUGUUAUUGUUUUCCUCAACCCAUACGGAUGAAAAAUUCAGAUAAAAAGCCCUCAAAACAAGGAAUAACUAAACCAGAGCUUCCAUGCGGCAGAAGCAACAACAGCCUAUUAAUUGGUCAAGUCUGAUGCAAGAGCCAGGAUGAUCAGAUACUCAUUA
Molecule: long non-coding RNA, 617 nt
Organism: Pseudophryne corroboree (corroboree frog)
Lineage: Eukaryota; Metazoa; Chordata; Amphibia; Anura; Myobatrachidae
Exons: 3
Source: RefSeq, a predicted model, not a curated record